CAAGGAGAAACUUCCCCAUUGCCAUGUGCAGGUCAGUGACUGGUUCUAUCAACAAAUCAAUCAAAUAGGCAGCAUUUGACUUUUAGGAACUGGCACCAUAGUGAGGAUUUCUGUGGGGAUUGUAUCCAGCCAAACCUGUACAGGGCACGUGGAAAAGGAUUCGUACUGGGACACAGUGUUCUCAGCUUCCAGUGCUUGUGGGUCUGAGAUCUUAGGGAAAUGAAACUUGCAUGAGUUAUACUCGACAAGAAAGUGUAAAAUGGGGGUAUCCUGUGUGAGCAUUUUGCAUUCCUCAAGGCUGAAAUUAUUAAGUUCUGUAUGUAGCAAACUUUUUCUGCAUUGUGAAGACCUUAAGGCAGGAUGGUGAUGUGCAGCCUUUGUGCCACUGUUUGCCCACUUGUGUCCAUAGUGGCAACUAAUCAUCCAUGCUGAAGUUACAGUUAAGCCCAGCCACAAAGCCCUCUUGGUUUAACAUUCCAGGCAUUCUAUGGGCAUUAGUAUGUGAAAUGAAACCUAUUUGCCUAGAUUAGGGAGCUCCAGUUCAGAGCUUCCCCAGAGGGUUACCCUAAGAAAGCUGCAUUUAGGACAGGAUCCCUUAACUGAAACCUAGCUUGCCCUGGGGAAGAAACCAAACCCUGGAGUGGUUUAAAAACUAACCCAGGCUUCCAGGAAAUGUCCAAAUAAGCAAUGCUGAAGGUCCUGGUUUCAUCUUAGUUUGUAUCAAUCAUAAAUAUGGAUUUAUUUCUGGAAAAGAAAAAUGUCAACCUAAUCUUUGUUCUGUUCUCACUGUCUCAUCUUAGACUGUUCAAUAAUGGAGUUUAUAAUGUUUGCUUUAGUGAGAAAAAUGAUUCUUUGUGACUAGUACUACCAUUCAGUAAUUAAAUGAAAAUUACUUUAAGUGUUUUCCUCUUCUCUGAAAGUAAUUGAAUUCACACAAGCAGGAAUGAUAGAAGGAGAAAUUAUGAUAUGUAUAAAGCAUUUCUGUUGAGGUAACAACAUUCAUUCCACACGUUCUUAUUAAGUGCCAGGCACUAUUUUAGCUGAAGGUCAACAGAGAAGAACAGCUCACGGGUCCUGUUUUGGAAGGGAUGAAGAGUGACACAUGACAAGUAGGUGCAGCUGAAGACUGUGGAGAAGAGUUGCAUGGAAUAUACUUUCCCCUGUGCACGUUGUGACCUGGUUUGAUGCUGUGUGGAACCCUUUUGACAAUUUCUGGAUCAAAUUUGCUUUUUAACUCUGGUUUGGGCUUUUGGCAUGCACUGUAUUCUUCUUCAAGAUUCACAUACUCAGAUCAUACAAUGGCCUGGUUUUGUUAAUGUUAUGAUUUGGAUGUGAGCUGUCCCCCAAAAGUUCUCAUGUGAGACAGUGCUGGAAGGUUCAGAAGAGAAAUGAUUGGAUUGUAAGAGUCUUAACUCAAUCAGUGAAUUAAUCCACUGAUAGAGAUUAACUGAAGUGUAGGGUGUGACUGGAGGAGGUGGGAAUUGGGGCAUGGCUUUGCAUAUAUAUUUGUAUCUGGCAAGUGAAUUCUUUGUUUUCUGAUUCCCUCCACCACCCUCUCCCUCCCUCAUGUUCAACCUUGCCUCCAGCCCAAAAGAAUGGAGCUGGCCUACUAUGGACUGAGACCUCUGAAACUGUGAGCCCUCAAA
Molecule: long non-coding RNA, 1646 nt
Filed under: Marmota monax (woodchuck)
Lineage: Eukaryota; Metazoa; Chordata; Mammalia; Rodentia; Sciuridae
Source: RNAcentral